AACUGUGUGCUUGAUAAAAAAGAUCGCCUUGAUAGGGCGAAAAAUGAGAGUUUCUCUCCGCUGUUA
This 66-nucleotide transfer RNA is filed under the name Typhlatya galapagensis. RNAcentral's name for it is "tRNA-Ile". The record is from RNAcentral. Lineage: Eukaryota; Metazoa; Arthropoda; Malacostraca; Decapoda; Atyidae.